AAUCAACGCUGGCGGCGCGCUUAACACAUGCAAGUCGAACGAGAAAGGGAGCAAUCCUGAGUAAAGUGGCGUACUGGUGAGUAACACGUGGAUAUCUACCUCUUGGUGGGAAUAACCUGGGGAAACCUGGGCUAAUACCGCAUAAGUUCGUGAGAAGAAAGGCGCAAGUCGCCGAGAGAGGAGUCCGCGGUCGAUUAGGUAGUUGGCAGGGUAAAAGCCUACCAAGCCGAAGAUCGAUAGCCGGCCUGAGAGGGCACACGGCCACACUGGCACUGAAACACGGGCCAGACUCCUACGGGAGGCAGCAGUGGGAAUCUUGCACAAUGGGGGAAACCCUGAUGCAGCGACGCCGCGUGAGCGAUGAAGCCCUUCGGGGUGUAAAGCUCUUUUACCAGGGAUGAUAAUGACAGUACCUGGAGAAUAAGCUCCGGCUAACUCCGUGCCAGCAGCCGCGGUAAU
Molecule: ribosomal RNA, 459 nt
Filed under: uncultured bacterium
Lineage: Bacteria
Description: bacterial SSU rRNA
Rfam family: Bacterial small subunit ribosomal RNA
Source: RNAcentral